AUAUAGGUAGUUUAUAAAAAUUUUAGUUUGUGGUUCUAAAGAUGCCGAUUGCUGGGUAUUCGGUCCUAUAUA
RNAcentral lists this transfer RNA (72 nucleotides) under Micrura ignea. RNAcentral describes it as "tRNA-His". Lineage: Eukaryota; Metazoa; Nemertea; Pilidiophora; Heteronemertea; Lineidae. The record is from RNAcentral.